UGGGGAAUAUUGGACAAUGGGCGCAAGCCUGAUCCAGCCAUGCCGCGUGUGUGAAGAAGGCCUUAUGGUUGUAAAGCACUUUAAGCGAGGAGGAGGCUACUUUAGUUAAUACCUAGAGAUAGUGGACGUUACUCGCAGAAUAAGCACCGGCUAACUCUGUGCCAGCAGCCGCGGUAAUACAGAGGGUGCAAGCGUUAAUCGGAUUUACUGGGCGUAAAGCGCGCGUAGGCGGCUAAUUAAGUCAAAUGUGAAAUCCCCGAGCUUAACUUGGGAAUUGCAUUCGAUACUGGUCAGCUAGAGUAUGGGAGAGGAUGGUAGAAUUCCAGGUGUAGCGGUGAAAUGCGUAGAGAUCUGGAGGAAUACCGAUGGCGAAGGCAGCCAUCUGGCCUAAUACUGACGCUGAGGUACGAAAGCAUGGGGAGCAAACAGG
This 430-nucleotide ribosomal RNA is filed under the name Pseudomonadota bacterium. RNAcentral's name for it is "Proteobacteria bacterium partial 16S ribosomal RNA". It matches the Rfam family "Bacterial small subunit ribosomal RNA", at positions 355 to 776 of the family's 1533-position model. The record is from RNAcentral. Lineage: Bacteria; Pseudomonadati; Pseudomonadota.